AUGGAGUCCAGCACUUAGCUGUAAACAUUCUGGAGCCACUCUGACUCCAGAGAAAGACACAGUAAACGUUGCCUGCAGAUGCCAGCCUCAAAAGGGUGAUCCUUAUCUUUGAUGCCUGGAGACUGGAUUACUGAGGUAGCAGCAUCUUGAGGAUAAUGCCAGGCACGACCUGCUCCAUAAGGAUCCUUCAUUAAGGUGAAGAGACAUUGUGAGCUGACAGAGCUUUGGCUCUUGAUCACUAGCACACCACGAGACCGAUUUAACAAACUACCCUGCUUACCAACAGCAUUUGAUGACUUUGUCCCAUCUUUGGACUGCAAGUUUGCCUCCAGUCUCCAUGGGUACUGUGGGUACUACAGAUACUGCAGUUGUGAAAAGGAUGUUGAAUAGAUUACAGAAGGAAUAGAGAGUGAAAUGUAUUGUACAGAUUUGGUCUUAACUUCGGGAAGCAGAGUAGUGUAGUAAUUGAAGUCCUGACUAGGACUCAGGGGACCUGAAUUCUAUUCCUGGCUCUGUCAUGGGCCUGCUGGGUGACCUGGGAGCCAUUCCACCUUCUUAAGGUGCACAACUCCCUGAAUGUGAAGAGGAGGCCCCCUGGGUCUCCAGCCCAAACCCAGAUGUCUACACUGCAAUUUUUAGACCUGCAGCCCAAGCCCCGAGAGCCAAAGUUAGCGGACCCAGUGACCCAUAAGCAUAAUUUGCUUUUCUUCACUGACUUUGAAAAUGGCUGAAUUGCAUGUGCAUCGCUGAGGAAAGGAUGCUGUGGGAGGUCAGAGCAACGGUGUCAUGCAAGUGAAUGCAAAUAUGUGAGUUCUUGCUCUGAACUUUUGUAAGUUCAAUCAGGGAGCUCUGGAACAAUGUGAAUUUUUGCUUGUGGGAGGCCAGAGUGGUUAUUCAUGAGUGCUUCAUCCGCUUCUCUUCUCAGUUUUAAUACUGCAUUAACCAGCUAGGCACCUGCUGCAAUAUGUUAAAAGUCUCUUGUAUAUUUUUAAAGGACGUUUAUUAAAUAAACAGCUUGGAAGUAAUUGUGCAGGGGGAAAAUGCCUUUUUCCAGCUCCCCAUAAAGGAAUUUUAUUGGCAACAGAUCUGAAGAAACUGCCAGCGAAUGUAAAAAAAAAAGUACAGAUGGUGCUCAGGAAAAAAAGGCAAGAUGAGAACAAGAAACAAUAUAUACAAAAUCAAAACAGACUUUUAGUUUAAUGGUUUUUCAGCCAGCGUAAGAUAUAUAGUGAAUAAAGGUGUAACAACAAAACAAGUGCACAGGAAUGGUAUGUCUGUGUUCCAUGUACAAGCAGAAGCAAUGCAAAGAGGCUGUAUUUAUAGAUGUUAUGUACACAGCAU
Long non-coding RNA from Chelonia mydas (Green sea turtle), 1341 nucleotides. RefSeq lists it as uncharacterized. The transcript has 8 exons. NCBI's taxonomy places the organism in Eukaryota, Metazoa, Chordata, Testudines, Cheloniidae. The record is from RefSeq and is a predicted model, not a curated record.